AUGAACGCUAGCGGCAGGCCUAAUACAUGCAAGUCGAACGGUAACAGGUGUAGCAAUACAUGCUGACGAGUGGCGCACGGGUGCGUAACACGUAUGCAACUUUCCUUCAACUGGUGAAUAGCCCCUCGAAAGAGGGAUUAAUACACCAUAAUAUAAUGAGAUGGCAUCAUCUUAUUAUUAAAACUCCGGUGGUUGAAGAUGGGCAUGCGCAACAUUAGCUAGUUGGUGAGGUAAUGGCUCACCAAGGCUACGAUGUUUAGGGUUCUAAGAGGAUUAACCCCACACUGGUACUGAGACACGGACCAGACUCCUACGGGAGGCAGCAGUAAGGAAUAUUGGACAAUGGUGGCAACACUGAUCCAGCCAUGCCGCGUGCAGGAUGAAGGCCCUAUGGGUUGUAAACUGCUUUUAUACGGGAAAAACCUCUCUACGUGUAGAGAGCUGAUGGUACCGUAAGAAUAAGGAUCGGCUAACUCCGUG
This 480-nucleotide ribosomal RNA is filed under the name uncultured bacterium. Its description in RNAcentral is "bacterial SSU rRNA". It matches the Rfam family "Bacterial small subunit ribosomal RNA", at positions 29 to 507 of the family's 1533-position model. The record is from RNAcentral.